This 756-nucleotide ribosomal RNA is filed under the name uncultured bacterium. Its description in RNAcentral is "bacterial SSU rRNA". It matches the Rfam family "Bacterial small subunit ribosomal RNA", at positions 576 to 1334 of the family's 1533-position model. The record is from RNAcentral.
CGGGUUUGUAAGUCAGUGGUGAAAGUCUGCAGCUUAACUGUAGAACUGCCAUUGAUACUGCAUACCUUGAGUAAUUACGAAGUGGUUAGAAUAUGUAGUGUAGCGGUGAAAUGCAUAGAUAUUACAUAGAAUACCGAUUGCGAAGGCAGAUCACUAAUAAUUUACUGACGCUGAUGGACGAAAGCGUAGGUAGCGAACAGGAUUAGAUACCCUGGUAGUCUACGCCGUAAACGAUGGUUACUAGCUGUUUGGCUCGAUUAAGAGCUGAGUGGCUAAGCGAAAGUGAUAAGUAACCCACCUGGGGAGUACGUUCGCAAGAAUGAAACUCAAAGGAAUUGACGGGGGCCCGCACAAGCGGUGGAGCAUGUGGUUUAAUUCGAUGAUACGCGAGGAACCUUACCAGGGCUUAAAUGUAGUCUGACAGGUCUGGAAACAGACCCUUCUUCGGACAGAUUACAAGGUGCUGCAUGGUUGUCGUCAGCUCGUGCCGUGAGGUGUCAGGUUAAGUCCUAUAACGAGCGCAACCCCUGUGGUUAGUUGCCAGCGAGUAAUGUCGGGAACUCUAGCCAGACUGCCGGUGCAAACCGUGAGGAAGGUGGGGAUGACGUCAAAUCAUCACGGCCCUUACGUCCUGGGCCACACACGUGCUACAAUAGUAGGGACAGAGAGCAGCCACUACGCGAGUAGGAGCGAAUCUAUAAACCUUAUCACAGUUCGGAUCGGAGUCUGCAACUCGACUCUGUGAAGCUGGAAUCG